Molecule: long non-coding RNA, 331 nt
Organism: Tupaia belangeri chinensis (Chinese tree shrew)
Lineage: Eukaryota; Metazoa; Chordata; Mammalia; Scandentia; Tupaiidae
Exons: 4
Source: RefSeq, a predicted model, not a curated record
UUGGUAAAUAACUGACAGGAGAUGGGCUGUUUCUAUGGCAGUAUUAACCCAAAUGAUGGGUGUUAAUCAUUAAACCUUUUAGGUGGUGGCUCGCUUGUUUCUCUGAUAUUCUAAUCCGGGUCACAGAAUGGCUAAGGCAGCUUUAAGUGGAGGGUGGAUUUUUUUUUUUCUCAGUUUGCCUUUUGUUUUCCAAUCUGAAAGAAUGUUGUGGCCGCUCUUUUUUCUGGUAACUGCUGUGCAUGCUCAACUCUGCCAACCAGAUGCACAAAAUGCUUUUAAAGUGAGACUUAGCAUCAGAACAGCUCUGGGAGAUAAAGCAUAUGUCUGGGAU